AGCCUACUAGCUCAAUUGGUAGAGCAUUGUGCAUUUAAAAGAUGUGGGUUCGAAUCCCACGUAGGUUC
Molecule: transfer RNA, 68 nt
Filed under: Spinacia oleracea (spinach)
Lineage: Eukaryota; Viridiplantae; Streptophyta; Magnoliopsida; Caryophyllales; Amaranthaceae
Rfam family: tRNA
About the family: Transfer RNA (tRNA) molecules are approximately 80 nucleotides in length.
Source: Rfam by way of RNAcentral